AACGAACGCUGGCGGCAUGCCUAACACAUGCAAGUCGAACGAGACCUUCGGGACUGGUGGCGCACGGGUGCGUAGCGCGGGGGACCCUGCCCUUAGGUUCGGAAUAACUCCCCGAAAGGGGUGCUAAUACCGGAUAAAGUCGUCGGACCAAAGAUUUAUCGCCUUUGGAUGGGCCUGCGUUGGAUUAGCUAGUUAGGAGGCUAAGAGUCGACCAAGGGGCCGAUCCAUAGCUGGUCUGAGAGGGUGGUCACCGACACUGGGACUGAGACACGGCCCAGAAUGCUACAGGAGGCAGCAGUGGGGAAUAUUGGCCAGUCGGCGAUAGCCUGAUCCAGCAAUGCCGCGUGAGUGAUGAAGGUCUUAGGGUUGUAAAGCUCUUUUACCCGGGAUGGUAAUGACAGUACCGGGAGAAUAAGCUCCGGCUAACUCCGUG
RNAcentral lists this ribosomal RNA (433 nucleotides) under uncultured bacterium. RNAcentral's name for it is "partial 16S ribosomal RNA". It matches the Rfam family "Bacterial small subunit ribosomal RNA", at positions 29 to 507 of the family's 1533-position model. The record is from RNAcentral.